Molecule: ribosomal RNA, 301 nt
Filed under: uncultured bacterium
Lineage: Bacteria
Description: partial 16S ribosomal RNA
Rfam family: Bacterial small subunit ribosomal RNA
Source: RNAcentral
CAGCAGCCGCGGUAAUACGGAGGGUGCAAGCGUUAAUCUGAAUUACUGGGCGUAAAGCGCACGCAGGCGGUCUGUCAAGUCGGAUGUGAAAUCCCCGGGCUCAACCUGGGAACUGCAUUCGAAACUGGCAGGCUAGAGUCUUGUAGAGGGGGGUAGAAUUCCAGGUGUAGCGGUGAAAUGCGUAGAGAUCUGGAGGAAUACCGGUGGCGAAGGCGGCCCCCUGGACAAAGACUGACGCUCAGGUGCGAAAGCGUGGGGAGCAAACAGGAUUAGAUACCCCUGUAGUCCCUGUCUCUUAUAC